RNAcentral lists this long non-coding RNA (21632 nucleotides) under Populus trichocarpa (black cottonwood). RNAcentral's name for it is "long non-coding RNA (PTRI_LNC004420)". The record is from RNAcentral. Lineage: Eukaryota; Viridiplantae; Streptophyta; Magnoliopsida; Malpighiales; Salicaceae.
GUAAUAUCUUCAAGAGAAUUGCAAAUCAGUUUUGCACUGCAAAUGCUUUUCAGUUCUGGUAAAUCAAACAAUUCCAGAAUUCUUAACUUUGGGAGAAUGACUUCCGUGAUGGAAUUGGAGGUGCUGCUUUCUUCAUCUGUUGUUCCUAUUAUCUCCUCCAUUUUCUCACAACUGCUAACAUCAAUCCUUGCCAGGUUUACGAGGUUUGGCAGCAACACAAGUGGAAACAACUUCUUCAUAUUGUUACAUCCACAACAAUUAAACUCUUUAAGACCAGAAAACGUACCAUUAUAUGAUGGCAAUGGUGGUGGAGCAUAGCAGAACCAAGAAGAUGAAACCAAGCUCUCCAUGUUAUGGCAACCCCAAAUGUCGAUGAGCUCAAGUUCAGUUGCAUUCUCUAAUGACAAAACAUCACAUAAACUUCUUGCAUCGAUGCUUUCACAAAUCAGUCCUUGAAUGCCAUUUAAGAACUUGACCUGAAAAUCUCCAUCUCCGUUGAUACUCAAAUUACCCAACCCAACUGUUUUAGUUGGAAAAUCAUCAAUUUGGACAGCCCAACAAUCUACAUCCACCAUUCCUACUAAAAUUGUAUAUGUGCUUAAUGAUUGAAUCCCAUCCCGAGAUCUGAGAUACUCCACGAAAUCAGAAAAACCUUCGAAAUGGCAUUCCAAACUUUCCAAAUUUCUCAAGGAUCCUACUUCAUUUCCUUUAACUGUUAUCGGAGCAUAUAUUGCAUCAAUUGAAAAUUCAUGUAGUACAAAGACUUGCAGGUGAGAGAGUUUUGGUAAUAUUCCACUAGGAAACUUCUUUUCACCACAUCCACUCAUUCUAAGAAACCUUAGGUUGGUUAGGCAUUCCAUUCCUUGCGGCAUCUUUUCAAGCGCAGUACUAGAGAGAUCCAACCUCUUCAGUGCCCUGAGCUUCUUUAAUGAUGGAACAUGUCUUAAAUUCUUACAGUUUUUGAUCAAUAACGCAGUGAGACUCACCAAAUCAGAGAUAGAGUCUGGCAAAUUUUCAAUACCUGUGCGAGACAGAUCGAGGACCAUGAGCCCAUUCAAUUGCUUGAAAAAUGAAUCUGCAACAAAUCUCAACCCUCUAUUAUCACAUAGAAAUAGAGUGGACAGAUUUGGACACAUUGGUGAAUGGCUGGAAGGAAUUUCUUCGAUCUCGUUUUCCAUUAAUGAAACUCUCCUCAGAUUCUCCAUCCAUUCCUCUGCAUCUGGCAACUCUUUUAAUUGUGCACCUGCUUUGACCAUGCCUUGAGAGUUCUCUAGCAGUAUUUGGAUGGCCAUGUCCCUAAUCAAGUCAUGCAUCUUGACACGUCUACUAUCAUCAUAAUUCAUUUUAGCACUUUCCAAUAAACAGACAUUUUCAAGUCUAUUAAGCAUCAUGUGGCCCUCAUCAAAUGCAUCUCCGCUGCUCCUCUUUCCUUUAAUUAUUCCCUCAUCGAUCAAAUAACCUAUCAACCUCUUCCUCUUAAUCCUAUAAUCUUCAGGAAAUAAUGCACAGUACAAGAGACAUUGUUGUAGUGCUAAAUCACCUAAUCGAUCAUAACUAAGCCUCAAUAACUUGAAUACUUCAUUGUCCCUAAAUUCUGAUUCUUUCAAUUUCUUCAAUGUAUUUCUCCACUCAUGUAGGUCAUCCACUCCCCUCAAGCUUCUUGCUACUGUAAUAAUUCCCAACGGCAAACCAGCACAUUCCUUUGCAACAACUUUUGCAAUCCCUUCCACUUCUCGCGAAAGUGCUAUGUCACGUCCAAGUUUCUCCAUGAACAAAGUCCAAGCUUCUCCAUCAGAAAGUGACUUCACUUUGAUUUUACGGUGGCAAGCCAUCUGAUGACAAACCAUUUCUGAUCGAGUUGUCAUAAUCAGCUUGCAUUCUUUCAACUUCUCAGGAAUUCCAACUCUAUCAAGUUCAAAAUUGUUCCACAAAUCAUCUAAAAUGAGAAUCCAUUUUUGUUUUUUCCUUAGUUCUUCUGACAAUUUGGCAGGUCUGAGCUGAACAUCAUCUUCGCUUGAAAGAUCUAGAUGAAGAUGUUUAGCAAUAAGAUUCUGCAAUCUAUUAAUGCUGAAAUCUUGAGACACAGUCACCCACCAAACAUGAUCACAAAUAUCUGAUCUUUGUAGAAGCUCAUUAUAAAUAUGUUGCAUUAUUGUUGUUUUACCAACUCCCCCCAUCCCAUAAAUGCCAAUGGUUGAGGCAUCCCCAUCCAUUAACAAAGACCAUAUCACCUUCUUAUUCUCUUCGAAUGCUUGACCCACUGGCUUUGUAGAGCUAGUAGGUAAUGGAACUCCUCUAGUCUUGUUGUAUUUCUGACUUUCAGAAGAUCUAGCUCCUGCGCCAGCCUGCACUACUGAUCUUCGACUAUUAUCCACAUCCUCCUCCACUGGUUCUGUCCUCACUCUAACCAGAUUAAUUCUCUCUUCCCCGGCACCUUGUUCCAGCACCCCCUGAACUCCCACUUGUAUCCUUCUCUAACCAGAUUAAUUCUCUCUUCCCCGGCACCUUGUUCCAGCACCCCCUGAACUCCCACUUGUAUCCUUCUAGCACCCCCUGCCAAAUUGCCAAGUACUGCAUUGCUUUGUUCCAACGAUCGAUCCACUGGUUCUGUCCUCCGUCUGCUCUCGAGUGCCCCUUCGGAAACUCCAUCUUCUGGUGCUUUCAUUCCGGUCAUGCUUACUACGUCGUUUCCUGCUAUUGCUUGUGAAGUAAUCCUCUCUUCCCCUGCUCCGGGUUCUACAACCUGAACUUCUCUUUGUACCCUUCCAAUUCCUCCUACCAUUGUUGAAAUUCCAGAGUCAUUAACAUUGACUGAACUUGCUGUGCUUUUAUGUCUUUUGUUGCCACCACACAUAGCUUUCCAGGCUGCUUCUUGAACUUCUUUAGGCAACCCACGACAAAUGGCAACACCAUGCCCUUCUUCUGCUGAUAAAUGCCAUUUGAUCCUUGAAAUGGAAGUUUUAAUGGCGUAUGUAUGUGGACAAAACUUACACUUCAUGCUACCAUCAUCAGCACUUUUUUCAACAUAAUUCCAAAAUGGAUCAUAUAAUCCACCCAUUUCAACCUAUAUAUAGGAAAAAAAAAAAGGGGGGGUCAAAAUAUAGAAUAAAAAUCAGUCAAAAUAAAGAAUAAAAAUUGAAGCAAGUUACACCAUAUCCGGAUGGAUGAGAAACUACUUCUUCAGUGCUGUUACCCUUAUUUUGCUAUUAAAAUUGAUAGUUAGUUUAUUGCACAAUCAUAGGAGGGAAAAAGACGACGAUAAUUCAGUUAGACUUCUUACUUGUUGAGCAUUUAAACCCCUAUUUUGACUUUGCAGGGAAGUGCCAAGGCCGGGAUUUGAGGCAUUUGGCCUAGCAGUUUGAUUUUGCAAUCCUCGUACUUGGAGGUUAUCCAUCUGUGACCUAUAUAUAAAUGAAGUGAUCAUAUUAUAAAACCUUUCCAUAAUUGGUAGUCUCUCUUAAGCAGUAAAAGUUAAUGGUGUUAAAACACAACAGCUAGAAGUCAAUCAGUACCUAGGCACGAGGUUCUCUUGUUGGACAUUGUCUAUGUUAGGAAUUACAGCAGCUCGAUCGACUUGUCCUUGAUUUGAAAAAUAUUGACUCCUGAAUCCAAAAUCAUUUGCAAACAAUAUGUUUAGCUUGUUGGGUUCAUGUUCAAGCUAUGAUGUUUCUUUCCUGAUUGAAAAACUAUUUUUUUUUAUAUAUAGAAAAUACUAAACAUGAAAAAUUGGAUACCGGGGAGCAGUAAAAGGAGGUCCAGGUUGAAUGAAGCCACCAUGUUCUGAAGUGGUUGCGUUCGGUGUCAUAUAGCCAUGUCCCGGCUGUGGUUGAUGAAUAUUGGAGUACUGAUGCCUGAAUAAUAUUCAAAUAGUUAAACUUAGAACUGUUAUUCUAACUUGGUUGAUUUUCUAGUUCCAUUAUGUGCACAAAAAAAGAGAGAUAGAGAGCUCAAACAGACUUCAAAAGUUUAUUGUCUUCAUGAUUAAAAAAGUGUAGAUAUAUUCGAGGUUAAUACCAUUGAUUCCUUGGAGGUUGAGGUCCAGGUAGCAUCGCAGGCACUUGAUUGCUCAUUGGUAACUGAUAAUUAGUCAAUUGUUGGUCCCUAAAUUAGCAACACUUGUUAGUAAUUUCUUUAUACAUAUGCAUAAUUCUUUGCUAUUAAUCCACUAAGAUAUCAUUUUAGCUUACCUCAAAGGAUUGGCACAUUGAGGAUCAAAUAAAUUAGGAUUAGGCCGAUACCUAUAUUCAAACAUAAUGAAUUCACUGAUAAGUACAACAACAAGAGGAAGAAGAAGAAGAAGUUAAAUAAUGAUUGAAAAACUUUUUUUUUUUUUUCAGAAAAUACUAAACAUGAAAAAUUGGAUACCAGGGAGCAAGAGAAGAAGGUCCAGGUUGAUUGAAUUCACCAUGUUGUGAUGUGGUUGCAUUCGGUGUCAUAUAGCCAUGUCCCGUCUGAGGUUGAUGAAUAAAGGAAUAAUGAUGCCUAAUUCAAUGGACAUUGUAGCAAAUUGGAGUAAGCAUGAGUACUCACCAUGGUUUCUGGAAAUGAAGUUGGAAACUGAGUUGUUUGUUGAAUACUAUCGUUGAUCACAUUCUUAUGUCCACCUUGAUCAUUGCAUAAUAUGGAGCCUUGGUUGACUGGAACCUCCGGUGCCGGCCUGCUUCCAUGGAAUAAUAUAUAGGAUAAACUGAAAUAACUAAAUUGCAAGCAAUCAUCUUCUGAUAAAAUAUGCUUAAGAAUGACGUACGAGAGAAGUAGUGAUUGAAGAUCGACCAGUGUCCAGUCCUCCAUAGAAGAUGGUGGGAACCCUUCCAUCUGACCACAAGUACAAGAUGAUUAGUACAUACUGAGGUGAAAAAAGAACAGAAAGCACAUAGCAAAUUAAUAUAUAUAUAUAUAUAUAGACACACACACGAGUGGAUUGCUGGGUACACACGUUACGUAAGUCAAAAUAAAAGAAAAACAAAUAAAUGGUGAAAAGCAUAUUUUAAUGGCAGUCCCAUUAAUUGGAAAAGAAAAGGGUGAAUCUAAGAAAAGAAAAGCCUAUUUUUUUUUAAUAUUAAUAUAUAAAAAAUAUUAAUUUAAUAUUUUUUAAAAAAUAAACAAAUUUUCUAAUGCACUCAAGCAUAAUUCUAAGUACAAAAACAAAUUAUAUUUUAAUUGCAGGCAUAACAAUCUUGGCAGUACCGUUGCCGUUUUUUAGUUUACUAGAGAUAGGGCAGAAAGCCUUAAGAAAAUAAUCUCACAUUCUCUGGAGUGUCGAUUCCACAUUGAAGCAAAUAAUUAAAAGAAUAAAAGCAAAUAUUAAAUGAUUUAAUAAAAGUGACUAAUGAAAAAAGUGCUUAAAUUCUACAAACAGCAGAUGGAUAGUCGGAAUCCAUCGAACACAUUUGAUAUUUUAAUUAUUCUUAUUUUGUUAAUUCAUUGAAUCAUUGUAAGAAAAUAAAAAGUUGAAAAAUAUUGAAUAAAAAUAAAUGGCAGUCCCAUUAAUUUUUUUAAGCUUUUUUUAAAUUUAAUUAUAUGAUAAAAAUAAAUGCUCAUAAAAUUGAGUAUCAUCCCUAAAAUAAAUAUUUAUUUAAGAUUUUGAUAACGCUAUAGAAAGCAAACAAAAAUAAAUCAUUUAAUCUAUUUCCAAACCAAUCUAAUAUUGAAGGAUAAAAUUAAAAAAAAAUCAAUUAAAAAAAUUAAAAGACCAGAAACAAAAAAAAAAAAACAUAUUUCAUUCAUUGAUAAACCUGUCAAACUCGUGAAUCAGGUAACUUGGGCUAGCACAUCAAACCCAUGAACAAGGUUAUGGACUUAACUAGGAUUAUACUUUUUUAAAAAAUUAUUUUUAUUUAAUAAUAUGAUAACAAAAAUAGAUACUUAUACUUGUAAAAUUAAACAUCAACCCAAUAUAUAUAUAUAUAUAUAUAUAUAUAUAUAUAUGCUAAUUCGGCCCAAAUAUAUAUGAAUGACUUUCUUGUUUGUUAAAGAAAUUCGGAUGAAAAAUAUGAAAUAUAAAUGUUGUUGUUAAUGAUUUAAUCCUUUGUCUUUGUAGCUAAAUUAUCAUACUCAAAUUCUUUAUAUGACACGAGAUCCUAAAACUCUAGAAUGAUAGAUAGAAAGACGCAGGAUAACUGUUGAAGAAAGCAGGGGAAGGAUAACUGUUAAUUCAUUGAAUCAUUGUAAGAAAAAAAAGUUGAAAAAUAUUGAAUAAAAAUAAAUGGCAGUCCCAUGAAAAGAAAAGGGUGAAUCUAAAAUAAGGAGUUAAAAACAGCAAAGAAUCUUGAAAAGACGAAAACAAUGAAUUCAGUAUUGAUUUAGUAUGAACUCUCCACAAGGCAUGGAUUAUAAAAUCCGAGAAAAAGAUCAAUUUAUUUAUCAUGGAUUCCUUUAAAGAUUCAAACCAUAUUUACAUAUAUACAAACAAAAACACCAACAAGAUGAAGAAGAUGAAGUACAAAUAAUUAACCUGGAUUCAAGAUGUUCUUCAAGCGCUGGUUUGAUUGAGCAGUAUUCAGCCCAAAAAAAAAAAACAGAAGAGAAAUCACAUAAAUCUAGUUCGCACUGGUUAGAUGUGGAAAGGAAAAGAGGUAGAAGAUGAUGAGUACGUCCUGAGGAUUUAAAGAGAAGAGAAAUCACAGAUCAGAGAAGAUUAUAUGAUUUAGAAAAUAAUAAAGUUGCAGUAUACACAAAUUAUUGUUUUGUUUGAUAGGAAGGAAGUUGCUAGCAAGCAACCCACUACUUUACCUGCCAAAUAUUACAUUAUUAGAUAUAGGAAGUUAACGCGUGGACCACCCCAACCAAGGUUGUCAAAAAUGUUUUUUUGACACGACACGAAAUAUACAAUAUAAACUUGGAUCGUAAACUUGAAUUGUAAAAUCAUAAAAUCACAAGAAAAAUAUUUUAACUAAUUAUAUAUUGACAAUUUCAGUCAAGUAGUAAAUAAUAAUAUAACACAAUUAAAAUAAAAGUGAAAUAAACAAUACAAAUAUCCAAACACCUUAAAAAACAUAAUUCAAAUAAAAAUUCAUACAUGGUUUAAAUAACUUAAAAAUACGAAAAGAAAAAAAAUAAGAUUAAACAACUAUGUUUUAUUGAUAGAGUUUCAGAACAUUUUCUAGAGGACAGGUCUUGAAACAUACUGCAGACAACUAGUGAGAUGAUAUAACAUUCUAAGGUAUAUCACCAAUUUUAAAAAAAAAAUUAACAGAGACCAAUACAGUGACAACGAGAACAAAAAUGUACAAAAUGACAUCAAUUUAAUCUCAUGACACCUCACCUUCCACCUUUUUUAUGUUAGUAAAAAGUCUUAGAAAUAAUGUCCAAAUAUCCCACCAAGCAAGACAUGUAUUUCAAGUUUUCUCUGAGUCUUUGUCGUCUCUCUUUGUAGUUAACAAAUGGUUAGCCUAAAACACAAUAUUUCUCUCUAUAUAAGUAUUCCUAUCUCUUAUUUUACUCCUUUGAUUCCUUACCAUCUACCUCUGUCUUCCCAUGGUUUCGAUCCUCCGAUCAUGCCUUCCCGGCCUAAAAUACAGUUGUCGCGGGGUGCGCGGCGUCGCGGCGAAUUUUCCAUUUUUUAGAUCUAGGAAUGUGUGUAUGGUAUCUAGGGAUGACAAGAAAAUAUUUUCUUUGGUUGGUAAAAAAUGGAAUGGGAGUCGCCAACUAGUAUUUUGGUCACUAGGAACCCUAACUGGUCUCAGAGAUUGGGUACGGGGACUGGUUGCGUAAAGGGAAGGUAUUAGCACCCCAAAUACGCCCUACCUAAGGUAAGCUGCAUGGUUUAUUUGUCUAAUAAAAUUCAAGGUCUCGUUAUGUUUCCUAAUUGUUGGUCCGUCCAUGGCUCAAGAAAAGUCCUCCUCAAUAAGGAGGUCCUUAUCUUAUCGGGUAAAACCUAACCGUUCUAAUGUCUAUGUAAAGAAACCCAUAUUUUUAAUAUCGGGAAUACGUUUUACGUAUAAAUUCGUAAUCCCAAAUAUUAAAAGAAAACAAAAAGAUUUUUUAGAAUUUUUGAAAUAUUGGCCUAGUUCUCAUGGCUUGAAUAAACAGGUUAUUAAAGCCAAAAUGCAUGCUAAUACAUAUAUUGUUUUGAAAUUUCCUUUGUUUGUGUGAAAAUAUGAUGUUACAAUAUUUAUUUAUAUAUGUUAGAGAGACUAGGCCGUAUGCACGAAAACAAAACAUUUUUAACUUAUUUUAUUUUUUAUGUUUUGACGAAAACCGGGUAUUUUAAUACUGGGUUUGUAUUCUUACCGUAUAAAAAUACAACCAAAUAUUAAUCCACUUUGAUAAAACAGAUGCAGAAAAAUCAAUAAUAUUUUUGAAGAUAUUUUUAGAGAUUUUUGAAAGCAAAAGGCAUUUUUUAUUUUGAAAAUCUUUGAUGUUUUGAUGAAAACCGGAUAUUUUAAAACUGGAUUUUGUAUCUUUAGAGUAUAAAAAUACCAACCAAUAUUAAUCAAAAUACAGUAAUAAAAUUACAACAAAAUCACAUAAUUUUUUUGGUGUAAUUUUUGUAAUUUUUCACAUAUAUAUAUAUAAGUAAUACAAAAAAUAAUAUAUAUAUAAUAUAUAUAAUAUUAAAUCGGGCUGGGCCGGCCCAAAACAACUGGGCCGGACUCAGCCCCAAAAGUGUUGGGCCGAUCUCGGCCCAAAAAAUGGAUUGGGCCGAUUUCGGCCCAGAUACUAUUAUCCACUUCUGGGCCAGACCCGGCCCAGAAGACUGGGCUGGGCCAGGACCAGCCUGGCCCAGCAACAAACGCUGGCGGGGGGAAUUAUUUUCCCCCCACCCUUCUGCAUGCAGAACGUUAUUCGUUUUGCAUGCAGGAACGAAAAAAAAGAAAAUGCAGUAAUGAAGGGAGGAGGAAGAAUUACCUGGCACGGAGGAGGCGGUGGAGCUUGCUGCGUUUCCGGCGGUGUUGUGGCGUUGCGGUGGAAGCCGGUGGUGGUAUCAAGCGGCGCUGUAGUCCCAACGGCAGCUCCAAGCAGUGCUGCUACCUCCCCCGGCAGCGACGUUCUUCCCGGCUCCUUGCUGUUUUUUUCGUUUUCUAUGUUCCCUCGCGGUUUCUAGCUCUCCUUCCUCUCAGUGUUGGGUUUUCGGUGUCUCUCUCCUCUGUUUCGGUUGAUUUUCUCUCCUCUUCUCUCUCUUCGGUUUUUUUCUUUCUUCCGGGUCUCCUCCCUUUCUCCUCCUUUUCUUCUGUGUUCUUGGGUCUAUUUAUAGAGCCAAGAGGCGGGGCUUUUUAUGGCUGCACAUGGGGGGCAGGGGCUGCGGCGGUUGGUCGGCCAUUCGGGUGCAGCUGUCGAGACGUUACUCCCCUGUUUUCUGCAUGGCGCGCGGCGGGUGGUCGGCCAGCGGGCGUGGCUGGCGAGGUGCGGCUCCCUCGGUUUUCUGGCAAGGCAUGCGGUCAAGAGAGAGGCAGCACACGUGAAGAAGAAAAACCCACCAUUUUGCUUUCUUCCCCUGCUGCACGUCCAUGGGAGGAAGAAAGAGGAACAGUGUCGUUCAAAACGACACCGUUCCGAUCUUCUUCUUCUUUUUUUUUUUUUUUUUUGGCAUGAAACGGCGUCGUUUUAGGCAAAACGCGCCGUUUCAUUUAAGUCCAGCAAGACGCCAAAACGCGUCAAUUUGCAAAGCAGCCCUCAAUUAUCUUCUUUCCUUCAAUUGCAUCCCUGCCAAUUUCGGUCUNNNNNNNNNNNNNNNNNNNNNNNNNNNNNNNNNNNNNNNNNNNNNNNNNNNNNNNNNNNNNNNNNNNNNNNNNNNNNNNNNNNNNNNNNNNNNNNNNNNNNNNNNNNNNNNNNNNNNNNNNNNNNNNNNNNNNNNNNNNNNNNNNNNNNNNNNNNNNNNNNNNNNNNNNNNNNNNNNNNNNNNNNNNNNNNNNNNNNNNNNNNNNNNNNNNNNNNNNNNNNNNNNNNCUGAUUUGACCUAAUAAAUUCCUAAAAAAAUAUUUUGGCCCCAGAACUUAAAUUUCUUCUAAUUAAAACGCAAAUUGACUUAAAAAUCAAUUUUUCUUACAAUCAAAUCCCCUAUAAAUUCAUUUUAAAAUCCAAUUAAGUCCAUAAACAUCCAAAUUUGGGCUUUUCUCCUCAAAUUUCAAAAUUCCCCUCUCAAUAGGGCUCUCAUCCUUCAAGAAUAUACUGUCCUAACUUCAAUCUUUGUAUUUUUAACCUCAUUGACCAAUUUUCCAACCAUUUUCUGAGCACUCCCACCUCUUAUUAUUUUUUCUAAUUUCUUCCGGCUAUAUAUUUAUAUUUUUAUGGGGGGAACCCAAAAAUGGGUUACAACAACAGUAUAAGGCUUUCUCAUACCUAAGAUCCUUCAAUGCUGGUGCUAGUCUGCUAAGAUUGAAAAUUUGAUAUUUGGGCAACGGGGAAAGGGGAGACUGGGGAGUGGGGACUAAGUAGUGGAGUGUCAGGGGAUUCAGAUAGGGAGGCAGUAAAAUUUUUAACUUUUGCAUGUUAAAACUCUAAAUCGGUCAAACUUGUAAAAUCGAUCCGAUUUUACUGAUUUUAACCGAGUUUGACCGUUUUUGACCAAGUUUGACCAAUUUCAAGUUUUAACCCGAUUUGACAUGUUAUAUACAUGUUAACUCGUAAAAUCGUAAGAUUUUAAGAGUCAACUCGCAAUUUUAACAACCUUAACCCCAACUAUGAAGCUUUAGAAGAAGAUGCCUAGAAAAUGUAAAUACAUGAAUAUGAGAAACAAUAAUAUACUUUGCUUUUUAAAAUAUUUUUUAUUUAAAAUAAUUAAAAUAAUAAUUUUUUUAUUUUUUAAAAUUUAUUUUUAAUAAAAAAUAAUAAUUUAAAAGGAAAAAAAUUCAAAGUUUUUGAAAAGCAUGUGCUCUAACAAUAACAGAUUAAUAGCAUGUGAUUAAAGGUUUUCAGUCGAUGCCAUUACAUGCAGUCAAAGACUCCAUCCUUACUUUUAAUAAACAAAACCUACACUCAAUAAUAUGUCCUGGUUUUUUUAGGGGAUUAAUUUUUAAAAAAUAUAAAAAAAAAUGUUAAGAGUGAAGAAAGUUUGUUGGUGAUAUUAUCAAACCUGGUUAGGGGAGUUAAUAUUAAAAUCUUUCAAUUUAAUUUUUUAUUUAAUUUAAAUUUUUAAUUAAAUUAUAUGAGAAUUAAUUCAAUUUAAAUAGAUCAAUAUCUAAAUGUAAAGCAUGGCAUAGCUUUUUUAAAAAAAUUAAUUUAAAAAAAUAAAAAACCAGAAAAAAAAAACAUAUCAGGGAAAUCACAUAAGUUUAAUAGUAAGGAAGGAAGUUGCUAAGAAGGAAGUUAACGUGUGGACCCCUCUAAUAUUGAAACUUUGAAGAAGCUGCCUGUAAAAUGUAAACACGUGAAUAUGAGAAAGAGUAGCAUAUUAAGGUAGUAGAUAUCUCUUCCUUUUUUUUUUCCUCUUCAUAAUGCAUGGAUUUAAGUUGCUUGGAGAUUUCAUUAAUCAAAUUAAUUUUUUUUAUAUUUUAUAUUAGUAUAUUAAAAAAUACUAAAAAUAUAUUUUUUCAAGAUAAAUAAAUUUUUAAAAUAUAUUCAAACACAAUUUUAAAUAUAAAAACAAAUUAUGCCUUGAUUCUAUUGUAACAAUCUUCAUCUUCAAAGAUAAAUUAUUAAGAUCGUGACCUAUGUUCUCGAUUGAACUAGGAAGGUAUGGAGUGUCGAUUUCACAUUGAAACAAAUUAAAAGAAUAAAAAGAGAUAUUAAAUGAUUUAAUAUUAAAAAAAAAAUUAAUUUUCAAUGCAGAUUAAUAGUGAGUUUGGAGUGUGGUUGCUGUUGCUUUUCAAAGUGAUUUUUACUCAUAAAUAUAUUAAAAUAAUAUUUUUUUAUUUUUAAAAAAUUAUUUUUGAUAUCAACAUAUUAAAAUAAUCUAAAAUAAAAUAAAAUUUUAUCAUAUUAAUUUUUUUUAAAAACACAUAGGCUACUUUCUGGCUUCAGUAUCAUAUUUGAUUUUCAAAGUUUCAAUUAUUUUAAUUAUUUUUAAUGAAUUACAUUUAAUAAAAUUUUGUAAAGUCAAACAUCAACUUAGCUUAACGUUUAAGCCUUUUUUUUUUGUGUUUGUUUUUUUAAGUGAAUCCAAAAAAUAACCAAUAAUAAAUUACUAAUUACAUCCAAAGAAUAAUGCGGUGAUGGUAGCACAGCAUUGAUUCUACAUGGAGACAAAUUAAAAGAAUAGAAGAAAAUAUUAAAUGAUUUAAUAGAGAAUGAAAUUUAAUUUUAAAUGCAAAUUAAAAUAAAGCAAGGUGACUAAUGGAGAAGCACUACUGAAAUUCUACAAACAGUAGAGCGUCGGGAAUCCCUAAAUUUCCACUUGGAAGGUAUACAUAAUUAAAUCAACAUAACACCAAAUGUAACCCUUUUGAAAAAUCAUUCAUCACUUUUAAAUAACGCAAAUGAUUAUCCCUAUUAAGAAAAAUCAACGACAGCAAUAUAGUCAAGACCGAUAUUAUAGUAAAAAAAAAAUUAAAUCAAAACAGAUAAAUAAAUUAUCUAAAUAUAAUCAAAGAAUUAAUCCAUUUAAUAGAAAAAACAUAACUGAAUACAUGUUCCCCGUGUCCCACACGUUUUCAUCAAAAACCUAAAUUUCAGGACUUCUUUGGCAGCCACGUACAUGCUUUAGGAGUUUUUUUUUUCUGAAAUCCUCAUUAGAGGCUAAUUUCUAGCUUUUUAACGUUGGUUUGAAAAUGUAGUUGUAGUUUUUUUAAAAAAAUAUUUUUCAUGUUGAAACAUAUUAAAAUAAUUUUUUUUUAUUUUUUUAAAUUUAUUUUUAAGAUCAGCGUUUCAAAACAAUUCAAAACAUAAAAAAAAUUAAUUUUUAAAAAACACGGUACAACCAAGUUUCCAAAACCUUACUAAAAAAUACGUUAAAAAUCACAACAAUCUGAUAUGUGAGUGGAAAGUUAUGAUUAAAAUACUUCAAUAUAUCCAGGCUGUUUCCCAGAAAAAAGAACAUUACUACUACUUUAAGUGUAUCUUCUGAUGUUUGCCGGUUUUGGAAAUGCGCUUAAGCUUUUAAAUUAAUUACCUCUAUUUUAACCCUUUGUUGCACAUCAAAAAUAAUAAUAGGAUAUUGUUUUAUUAAAAAAAGAUUCAGGUAAUUCAUUGAAUCAUUGUAAGAAAAAAAAGAGUUAAAAAGGCAUGGAUUAGAAAAUCCGAGAAAAAUUUCAUUUUAUUUAUUAUGGAUUACUUUAAAGAUUCAAACCAUAUAUAAAAACAAAGUGGCACUUGGACUCCUCAGUGCCGGGCAUCCACAGCGCACACGUGACGCUUGGGUUGAUACAUGUGUGCUGACAAACCAAGCGCACAAGUGGCGCUUGGGUUCCUCCUCAGUGCUGGGCAAACCCCUGCGCCCACGUGGUGCCUGGGGGUUGGGCACCCCAACGCACACGUGGCUCUUGGGGUGCGCUGGGAGUGAGCCAUGCUUGUGCCCCACUUAGGAACACCUACAGCUUGGGUCAUGGCGCUAGGCCGAGGUUCUUAGGUCUUAGGAUUCUAAAUAUUAUUGUUUGUUUUAGAAAUAUUAUUAUUAUUAUUAUUAUUAUUAUUAUUAUUAAUGAAAUAAUUAAUAAAUUUGAAAGAAAAUAUUAUUAUUAAUAUUGAAAACAUAUUAUUAUUUAUAUUAUAAAUUUUUAUGAUAUUUUUUAUAAAAAUAAAAAGUGAGCCCGCGGCGCGGUAUUAUUAAAAAUAGUCAACAAUUCUAAGUAUUAAUAUAAAAAAUAUUAUAAUUUGAGUUGUAAAUAUUAUUAUUUUUCUUAUAAUACAAAGUAUUCAUAUAAAACAUAUUAUUAUAUGUGCUCUAAAUAUUAUUAAAUGAAAGUGUAAACUGAGUUGUUUGUUGAAUACUAUCGUUGACCCCAUUGUUAUCCACCACCAUGUUCUGUCCACCUUGAUAAUUGCAUAAUAUGGAGCCUUGGUUGACUGGAACCUCCGGUGCCGGCCUGCUUCCAUGGAAUAAUAUAGAGGAUAAACUGAAGAAUAACUAAAUUGCAAGCAAUCACCUUCUGAUAAAAUAUGCUUAAGAAUGACGUACGAGAGAAGUAGUGAUUGAAGAAUAACUAAACCAAAAAUAAAUAACACAUUUGGUAAUUGUAUCUCACCUCUGGAGUGUCGAUUCCACAUUGAAACAAAUUAAAAGAAUAGAAGAAAAUAUUAAAUGAUUGAAUAGAGAACAUAAAUUAAUUUUCAACGCAGAUUAAAAUAAAGCAAAUUCUACAAACAGCAGAUAGAUAGUCGGAAUCCCUUGAAACACAUUUAAUAUUUUAAUUAUUCUUAUUUUGUUUAAUGAAAGGUAAUUACUGCUCAAUUUCAUUGAAUCAUUUUGUCAGAAAAAUAUUGAAUAAAAAUUAAUGGCAGUCCCAAUAAUUGGAAAAGAAAAGAGUGAAACUAAAAUAAGGAAUUAAAAACAGCAAAUAUUAAAUAAGGUCAGCUCAAUAAUAAUCUAUUACAGCUGCUAGCUACCUUAAAUAAUAUUAUUUAUUAGUAAGGUCAGCUCAAUAAUAAUCUAUUAACGUAUUGUCUGAUAGGAAGGAAGUUGCCAGGAAGCAACCCACCGCUUACCUACCAAGCAUUAUAUUAUAAGAUAUACUAGAUGCCAUGCCCGCACGAUACCGCGGGUUUUUGGCAUGCUUGUGCGUUGUCGUGAUUUAUGAAAAAAAUUAAAAAAUAAUUAUAUGAAGAAAAACUGUUCCAAUCCACAUUGUUUUCAAGGAAAAAACUACAAAGCUAAAUUCUUAAUCAGAUUAUUAAUUUAAAAAUAAAAUGAACAAACAAAAUUUUUGAAAAAAUCAUAACAAAAAAAAAAAAAGGAAAAAAAAACCAAGCAGGGAAACAUUGUAGUAAUCUAUAGUGUUUCAUGAGGAAAUCUAUAGUUGUAAUUUUCAACCAGCUUUAUUAAAAAUAAUAAAAUCGAUAAAGACAAUUUUGAAAAAAAUCAUAAAAAAAAAUCAUAUGAGGGAAUACUGUAGGAAUUCACAGUGUUUUAAAGAAAAAAACUAUAAAGUUAAAUUCUCAACCAACUCAAUAUGAAAAAAAUAAAAUCGACAAAGACAAUUCUAGAAAAAAAAUCAUUAAAAAAAACCUUGUGGGAAAACACUGUAGCAAUCCACAACGUUUUAAAGAAAAAAACUACAAACUAAAUUUUCAACCAACAAUUCUAAAAAAAAUUUGAAAAAAAGAAGAAGACAAUUUUGAAAAAAAAAAAGCAAAAAAAAUGGAAAAAAAACAUGUGGGGAAAAUUAAAGCUGAAUUCUCAACCAGCUCAAUAUUUUAAAAAAAUCGACAAAGAUAAUUUUGGAAAAAAAUAUGUGGGGAAAUACUAUAGCAAAACAAAAUCAUGUGGGGAAACAUGGUAAUAAUCCACAAUGUUUUUUUUAAAAAAUACAAAGCAAAAUCGAUAAAGAUCAUUUUGAAAAAAAAAAGAAAAAAAUCAUAAGAAAAAGAAAAAAACCAUGUAGGGAAACAUUAUAGUAAUCCAUAAUGUUUUAAAGAAAAAAAUAACAGAACUUAAUUUUCAACCAUUUCAAUAUUAAAAAAAAUCAAUAAAAAUAAUUUUGAAAAAAAACACAAAAACAAAAAAGAAUAAUAAAAAAAAGACAAUUUUGAAAAAAAAUAAAAAAAACAUGUAAAGCCCAAAAAACAAAAAAAAUGUGUUUUUAAAAAAACACAUUUUAAAAAUAUAUUAAUUUUUUUAUAUAUAUAUUACCACGUAAAAACAAUUUAAAAAUAAUAAUUGCAAACAGUCACUUGAUACAGUUUUACAUACUUUUAAUUAGCGUCACUCAUUUAAGCCAUGUCAUGGGUUAAUGGUUACCAGCAACUCUCCAUUCCGUGACCUUUCCGACCCUACGUAGAACAACCAACUCCCCGGCAAAAAUAAUAAUAAUUUCAGUCGAAUCAUGUUUUUUUUUUAAAACUUGAUUUUUUUAUUUUAAAUUAAUUUUUUUAUAUUUUUAAAUUAUUUUGACAUAUUAAUAUUAAAAAUAAAUUUAAAAAAUAAAAAAAUUAUUUUAAUAUAUUACACAUAAAAAAUAAUUCCUUCCGACUGCCGAAGUCAAUCAUAGUAUACCUGCCUUUCCCGUUUUCAAAAAAAAAAGGGAAAAAUAAAAUUAAGACUUGUGUCUUUUGGGCAGCAUGGUGCACUGCUGUUAUACCAAAUAAUCUAGUCAGUCAAUAUCAUUUUUUUUAUUAUUAUUAAUCUGGCCAGAUAUAAACUAGAUUGGUUUGAUUGAAUCAAUCAAAUUUUACUGAAUCAAUAUUUUAUUUGGUUGAAUUACAAAUUCAAUAUUUUUUUUAUGGUAAGUAGUUAGAAAUAAAUGAAUAAAUAAAUAAAAGCUACGUACGUACCAAUAUUUAAAUUAAGUAACCUCAAAGACUACUAAUUUAGCUUUUGAUAUUAAAAGGGCGUAUGUUGUUACUCUCUGCCUAGAUUAAUGUAUUUUUAAAUAAAAAAAUAUUUUUUAAAAAAAUUAACAGCAUGCAGAAAUAUGCUAUUCUUUUUAGAAAAUUUCAUGCGUUUACAUUUUCUUGACAGCUUCUUCGAAGUUUCAACAUUGAGGCGGGUCCACAUUCUCUUCCACAUCUCAUCUCAUUAUACAAUUCCCUAUUUUCCUUUCCCCAUCUCAUGAUCAGUGCGAACUAGAUUCUUAGUAUACUGCAACUUUAUUAUUUCUCUAAACCAUAUAUUCUUAGUGUGUGGAGGCUGGUUCAAAGUGAAAUUUCACGACUCCUGGGCCUUGACUUGUCUGUUUAAUUUCUAUUAUUUUUAUUCACAUUUUAGCAUUUUAUUCCAAUGAUAGAAUGCACUUUCAUAGAGACUCAUCAUCAAAACCCCAGGAACGCAAUCAAGCUUUAGCUUCAAACAACCAGAUCGGGAGAUUUAGUGCAGUGGAGAACUUCAACAUCUACUAUGAAGCUUGAUUUGCUAUCCAAUCUUCACAUCAGUUUUCCAUUGAUACAAAGAUACUCUGUAUGUGUUUUCGUUGCCGGAAAGUUGUUCGAUCAAUAACUUUUUAUCUUUUUCCAAGUUUUUUUUGUGUGAUUCUUUUUUCCUUUCAUCUCAAACUCAUGAACUAAAAGGUAAACAAAAUAAAAUUUUAGGUUAAAAUAAAAAAUAAAAAAUAUAAGAUGCAAAAAAAUAUAAGGUAAACAAUAAACUAAAUUUUAGAAUAUGUCUCUUAACUAUUCGUAAGCUUCCUAUUCGUUCUUAGUUUUUCUUGAAGUUAUUCUAUUUGAUGUCAUGAGUGUUCCAUUGAGAGAUAAAAAAGAAGACAAAUUGGCAUCCUCUUCACCUGCUUACAAUGCAUUACAGUAAUAUCUCUAAGAGAAUUGUAAAUCAAUUUUUGCACUGCAAAUACUUUUCAGUUCCGGUAAAUCAAACAAUUUCAGAAUUUUCCAAGAUAAACAGAUUUUUAAAUACACUCAAACAUAAUUUUAAAUAUAAAAACAAUUAUGUUUUUUUUAUUGCGGCAUAACAGUGUUGGCAGUACCGUUGUUGUUUGGACUUUGAGCAGCAGUAGAUAUCUCCAGCGUACUGUUACCUGCCGGCUAGAAAAUGUAUGUUGCCGUUUUUUAGUUUACUAGAGAGAGGGCAGAAAGCCUUCAUUAGAAAAUAACUUCAUAUUCUGUGUGGUAGAAACCUGAUUCCACCCAAAAAUAAUUUCACGACAAUAUACUUAAGGAGCAAUAUUACAGCAAAGAAAUUAAAUCAAUACAGGUAAAUAAAUGAUCCAAAGAUUAAUUCAUUCAAUAGAAAAAACAUGACUGACUCCAUAAACUGCAUAAAUCUGAACAAAAGAGUUAGAAUAAUUGGAAAUCUGAACAAUUUGGCUACCCAUCACUGUAUUGGACGUUGAAAAUUUCCCGAGAAGAUUUUGGCACCAAGCAUUCAUAGCCAUUCCUUUCCUUGCAUGUUCUCCUUCUUCCUUUUUCUUUCUCUGGUGCAAUUCCCACACGUCUUCUUUAUGCCAAAUACCCCUCUUUUCAAAGGAGGCAGCCCCACUUUUCAACCUCCUUUUUCAUCACGUCUCCGUGCUAUAUUUUAGGACUUCUUUGGCACCCACGUACAUGCCUUAGGAGAUCUUUUUUUGAAAUCCUCAUUAGAGGCUAAUUUGUAGCCCUUUAAGAAACCUCCCCAACGCGUCAAGAAUCACAGCAAUCCGAUAUGUGAGCGGAAAGUUAUGAUUAAAAUAGUGCUACUUGGGUGAUUUGAAAAAAUGGUUGUGGUUAUUUUUUAAAAUGUUAAUUUUCACUCAUAAAUAUAUCUAAAUAAUAUUUUUUAUUUUUUAAAAAUUAUUUUUGACAUCAAUGCAUCAAAAUAAUUUGAAAACACUAAAAACAUAUUAAUUUGAAGCAAAAAUAAAAAAAAUUAAUUUUUUUCAAAAAUACUUUUGAAACACAAAAACAAACAGAACUUUAUCUUUUAACGUUUACCGGUUUUCGAAAUGCACUUAAGCUUUUAAAUGUAUUUUUACGUUUGUCUUUAGAAAUUAUCAAUUUGAUAAUUAUUUUUAGUGUUUUUUAAUAAUUUUAAUGUAUUAAUAUUAAAAAUUAAAAAAAUUUACAAAAAUUAUUUUUAAAAAACAUUUUUAAUAUACAUUUUAUACCACAAUAUAUAUCAAGUGAAAACAUAAUCCCAAAACCUUCACCAAUCAUGCUAAGGUUUUCAACCCAAUCAUGCUUUUUCCUUAUUAUAAAUACAAAAUAAAGUUCGAGUGAAGUAGUAGGGUACAAUCUUAAAUGGUCCAAACAUUAUUGUUACAAUGUGACUGUGGUCCCAACAUUAGUGUAGCAUUAGCCAUGUCUCAAGCUCCUCUGAUAAAAAAAUCAGGUUAUUGGUGUUUGAUGAAAUUAGUUGUCCCUAAAAAUAAAAUAAAAUCCUUUGUGAAUUAAUUAAUUACUCAAUUAAUCCCUAAAUUAGUUUUCUUGUUUUCCACAAAUUUUUUAAGAAUACAAAUAUUUUAUUAGAUGUUUAGACCAUAGUUAUUAAACCCGGACCGGCCUGGCGGGUCGACCCAUGACCCGGUGGCUAGAUUGGUCCGGGUUUGUUAAAAGACCGGCCGGUGCAACGACCUGGCCAAACCCGGUAGACCCGGGUGAGACCCGGUUUUUUUUUUUUUUCAAAUGUGGAAUUUGAAACCCAUUAGUAUAUAUACUCUAUAUUCCCAAGAAAAAAGUUAUGUUUUUUCAAUGUGGGAUAAAAAACUUUUUAGUUUAAAUACGUCAACUUAAAAAGAUAACAUAAUAUCUUUUCAAUGUGGGAUUUGAAGCUCUUUGUAUAAAUACUCCAUGUUCCCAAGAAAAAAUUUAUGUUUUUUCAAUGUGGAAUUUGAAACCCAUUAGUAUAUAUACUCUGUGUUCCCAAGAAAAAAAUUAUUUUUUCAAUAUGGGAUAAAAACUUUUUUGAUUUAAAUACUUCAACUUAAAAACUUAACAUAAUAUCUUUUUAAUGUGGGAUUAAAAACUUUUUAAAAUAUUCAUUUAAACUUCAUUAUUUACAAUAUGUAUAGCCUAUAUUUACUUGGAUUUUUUCUUAAUUUUUUCAUAUAAAAUAUUAAAACUUUAAAUAUUUUUUUAAAUUUUUCCGGAUUGAUCCGAGUUGACCCAUAAAACCCAGGACCCAGCCCCUUGGCCAAGUCAACCCUCAGACCGGGUUUAAUAACUAUGGUUUAGACACUCCACUAUUAUAAUAUUUUAUUUAAGUUUAGAUUUUUAUUUCAAUUUAUUGAAUUUUAUUUAAUGUAACAAAUAUUAUAAAUUAUUGUUUUCUUUUAUCUGGCGAUGAUAAAUUCUAAAAUAUUAUUUGAUUUUAUUGAUUUUGAAAGAAUAUAUAUUUUAAAAUAUUAUGAAAUGUUGUCCGAAUUUUAUAUGUUUUUGUUUUCUAAAUGCAUGUUCCAAGACUUAAUGUGAAUAUGAUAUUCUUAUAGCAUUGAUUUUGCGUUGGUAGUCAUGUAUCCGAAACACGGUUCGUGACAAUAACGCAAAACACAACAAACAUUGUUGGAAUGCUGAAUCCUUGAAGUGCGUAUAACAAAAUCUCAGUGUCCGGAAUACCUCUUCCUCCAUGGCAUCUUGCCUAACUCUUGAUUGUCUCAGGUCCCCCAAGGCAUUCCUCCACUUCUUGGUUAGCUAUCUCAUGGAGGUUGACGCCAUCAUACCUUGGAAAUUCAAUUCAAAAAUACCCUUUAAUUUCUAUUAUUUUUAUUCACAUUUAAGCAUUUUAUUCCAAUGAUAGAAAAUUUAGAAUGCACUUUCAUACACUGAUCAUCAAAACCCCAGGAACGCCAUCAAGCAUCAGCUUCAAACAACCAGAGGGAGCUUCAGUGCAGUAGAGAACUUCAACAUCUACUAUGAAGCUUGAUUUGCUAUACAAGAUCUGCACACCAGUUUUUCAUUGAUACAAAGAUACUGUAUGUAUUCAAAAAUACCUUGUUUUCUCUAUUGGUACAUGGUAAAAGUCUGAGCAUAUUUUUUUUAAUUUUAAUUUUAAUAAUAGUACUGUUCUUUCUACCGCCAAGAAAUCAAGAACGCUAGAUUCAUUCAACAAGAUUCUAAAGCUUAUAUUUAGAUAAAUUAGCAGAAAGGACAAAAAUCCUAGUGCAAAAGGCCUAUAAACUAGCCCAACUAAUCAUACCCAGAGAAGCAAAAACCAAAAACAAGCUAGCUCAAUUUUUGCUCCACCUGGCUAAGAAAUUCAGCAUACCCCCUUGGAAUUAUACACCAUCCAAAUUAUUUUAUUUUUGAUGAGUCAUUUUAAAAUUCAAACUUAUGAGUUAUUUAUUAAGUUAAUUCAGAUUAAUUAUUUUAUUAAAAUAAUAUUACUUUAUCUUUUUUAGUAAUCUGAUUAGAUAUGAACUAGGUUGGUUUGAUUGAUUGAUUAAAUUCCACCCAAUCAAUAUCUUAUUUAGUUUAAUUACAAACCCAAUCCAAGUUAAAUUUUAAAUUUUAAGUUUUUUAAAUAAACACGGUUUAACAAUUAUUUUUUUAUCUUUAACUAAACUUUGAAGUGUAUAAACUUUCACACUCAGUGUGUGUAUAUAUUAUUCAACCAAAUAAUUGCUUGUGACACAUAUGUGGCGAGCUUUCUAGUAUGAAAAAUUUUAUGCGUCUAUUUUAAAAUUUGGUUCUGAGAGAUAGACAACGAAAGGAUUAACAAUAUGAAAGGUACAAUUUGAUUGAGAGAGAUUAUGCUUACCCUUUAUUCGAAAGGAUUACCCUACUGUCUCCCACCACGACUUUACAAAGGGACGAAAGACAUCCUUUGCGUUAGGAUGCUCCCACUCCACUACUGUCUCCCACCAUUCUACUGGAUACUGGAUAUGCUCGGAUGUAUUUAAGAGAAGGGAGAAGAGAUGGCUGGCCAUUUUCAAGCAACGGAAGACAAAUUGGAAUCCUCUUCACCUUCUGACAAUUGAUUACAGCAAUAUCUUCAAGAGAAUUGCAAGUCAGCUUUGAACCCCAAAUGCUUUUCAGUUCCGGUAAUUCAGACAAUUGCAGAGUUCUUAACUUUGGGAGUAUUAAUUUCGUGAUGGAAAUGGAGGUGCUGCUUUCUUCAUCUGUUGUUCCUAUUAUCUCCUCCAUUUUCUCACAAUCUCUAACGUCAAUCACUUCCAGGUUUACGAGGUUUGACAACAACACAAGUGGGAACAGCUUCUUCAUACUUUUACAUCUAACAC